Non-coding RNA from Arachis ipaensis, 217 nucleotides. Lineage: Eukaryota; Viridiplantae; Streptophyta; Magnoliopsida; Fabales; Fabaceae. The record is from RefSeq and is a predicted model, not a curated record.
GGACGGUAUUCUUUAGUUACAGAUUAAGUUAUCGGAGCCACAUGUUGCGCGAAAAGGUUGUCCUUGCUGCUGCGAAAGUGAACAAAGCUGUGAUGUAAGCUGCUGGUAAAUUCGGGUUGAUUGAGAGUUCCGGUGACGCGUUUGGGUUAUGGUUUCGCGAUUUGAGGAUAUGGGCGCAGAAGUUACGAAGAGCUUAUUUAAUUGUUGUUGUGAUGCU